AAUGGCCGGAAGGCUGAUCCAGCCAUGCCGCGUGCAGGAUGACGGCCUACGGGUUGUAAACUGCUUUUAUACGGGAAGAAAUGGGGCACGCGUGCCCCUUUGACGGUACCGUAAGAAUAAGGACCGGCUAACUCCGUGCCAGCAGCCGCGGUAAUACGGAGGGUCCGAGCGUUAUCCGGAAUCAUUGGGUUUAAAGGGUCCGUAGGCGGGCCCGUAAGUCAGGGGUGAAAGGCCACGGCUCAACCGUGGGACCGCCUUUGAUACUGCGGGUCUUGAGUUAUGGUGGGGCCGCCGGAACAUGUGGUGUGGCGGUGAAAUGCAUAGAUAUCACAUAGAACACCGAUCGCGAAGGCAGGUGGCCAACCAUUAACUGACGCUGAUGGACGAAAGCGUGGGUAGCGAACGGGAUU
This 410-nucleotide ribosomal RNA is filed under the name uncultured Flavobacteriia bacterium. Its description in RNAcentral is "bacterial SSU rRNA". It matches the Rfam family "Bacterial small subunit ribosomal RNA", at positions 370 to 779 of the family's 1533-position model. The record is from RNAcentral. Lineage: Bacteria; Pseudomonadati; Bacteroidota; Flavobacteriia.